Molecule: long non-coding RNA, 1646 nt
Filed under: Trifolium pratense (red clover)
Lineage: Eukaryota; Viridiplantae; Streptophyta; Magnoliopsida; Fabales; Fabaceae
Description: long non-coding RNA (TPRA_LNC013584)
Source: RNAcentral
GAGAAUCCACAAAAAAAAUUAUCAAACACAUGGUGGGCAUGUACAAAAUUGAAAUAGACGAGUAAUUAAAUUAUAAGACAACAAAGAAACUAAGAAGAAGAACAACAACAACAAUGCAAGAAAUAGCAUACACGAGAAGAAAUUAGAAGCGAUGACAAAUUUACGGUCCUCUUACCUUCCAUCCUCAACCCAAAUUUAUAGAUGAUGAAACUGUUUAUGAAGGGAAAAUUGGAGCACCAGAUAAAGCAUACACGACGACAAGAGCAUAUCUGAGGAAGGUGUAUUAUAGAAANNUGUAAAACCAAGGAACGAAAAAAAAAAAAUCAAAACGGAUCGACUUGGCACGAAUGAUUACAACCUACAGUGCCCAAAUCCCGUUAUCUAGUGUCAAGUGUAUAGAUAUCACCCAUAAAUCCUGAUACAUCAUUCCCAAUUUUGUGGAAAAAGAGACAUAAAGCAAGAUGAAGCUACUAUGAAUAAGAAAGAAAAACUACAUAAAUGAAAAAUAGAAUGAAAUAGGAAACAAAUUAAUCAUCCCUCACCAGUUCUUUCUCUAUNNNNNNNNNNNNNNNNNNNNNNNNNNNNNNNNNNNNNNGAAACUCCCCCAAUACAUUCUUGCUGCCUUUUGGUUCAAACCUGCAAGCCAAACAACCUGUUGUCGAGCUAAUAAACAAAUUAGUGAUAAAUAAUCCCAAAUAGAAACCCUCAUCACAAAACUAAAUUUGUGAAAUUUUUUUCAAUUAAGAAAAUCAAUAAAGAAGUUAAAGCAAAAAUUAGGGAUUACAAAUACAAAUGAAGAAAAAUAGGUAUUAAAGGAAAGAAAGUUAAGGGAAAAGAAUCAUUGACGAAAAAUUUGUUGGUGAACCAUCCUGUCAAAGCCAAACUAUAAUUUGUUGGUCCAAAUUUCUCCAUCCUUAAUUUAUAGACAACUGGAUACCNNNNGCAUGAUAUCAAAAUAAGAACUUAAAACUGAGAAGCUACAAUCAAAACUAUAUUUUACCUUGGACAAGAACCAUCUCAACUCAAUAGAGCCAGAUUCAUUUGGAUUGAGAAAAGCAGGAACCUUCCACAACUGAACAAUCCUGGCCUUAAUCCGAACCCUUUCUUUGCCAGGAACGAGAUCAUCGAUAUCAUCAAACGCAUAAGACACCAAACCUUUCUCCAUAUGUGCGAUCACCAGCUAGAUGAGUGACACAACCGUGGCUGAAUAAAUAUGAACAAUUAUGUCGAAUUUAUAGAACCCUAAAAAUUUCAAAUUAGGGAAUUUCAAUUGAGAGGGAAAAUCUCACCACUAGUUAACACCCACACCAGAAAAACCCACAAAGAAUCAGGUAACACCCACAUCAUAUAAACCGAGGCAAAAAUCUGUACCAGAAAACUAUAAUAGAACCAGAUUCAAAGAACAAAAAAAAAAAAGCUAUCUUGCAGAGGAAGCGUGGAGAAGAAGAGUCAAUACUGUUACAAACAGUACCACAAAAGGACAAAAACAAGACACGAUCGAUAAAAAACAAAAACACCAGUUAAUAAAAGAAAUUUUAUUAAUUAAGUAAUUAAAUUAAAUUAAAUUAAUUAUGAUUAACGUGGACGAAGGAUUGCAAUGAACAGUGCUAAAAACGCUGUUACGCUUUGUUAGGUGUAUAGAUAUU